AACCGUUUUUAUUUAGUGUCUGGUCUUUUUCAUGAGUACUUACUCAGGUACAAAACUAUAAAAACGUCAAGCACGACUGCGGGCUGAGCAUGUGGAAAAAAAUAAAUCGUUUCAAUAAUUUAAUUUACCGUCUAUAUACGUUAUACUCGGGCUACAAUCUUGGGUAAAAUUAAAAAUACUAAAAUAAAACAUCGCCCGACGUUCGUCACCCAUACGAAAUCGGCCAUCAGUAUUCAGUAAUAGAUACUAAAGAAUAAAGAUAAUUUUACUUAUUUUUAUUUUGUUUUUACGUUCUGCCUUUUGGUAAUAAUUACCGGUGCGGAUUAUUGGAGACGAUAUUGUGGACUGUGGUAAUAACAUCAGCUAAUUAAUUAUCCAGCGUGAAUGAGCAGUAAGUACCUUAUAUUAGACUUAGAAAAAGACACUGAACACAUAAGGUUACAUAAGGAUACAUUGUCAACUCAAUGUUUGAUGAAGUAACUAAUUGAAAAACAAACGAUACAGAGGAUAUAAUUCAAUAUGGAACCAUUAAGAACAACAUUUGAUGAUUGCGUGAUAAAUUCCAAGUAUUAUGAUAUAAUAUACAGUACUAGAGUGUUGUCAAUCCCACUAGUAAGAUGUGAUGAUCAAGUAUU
Long non-coding RNA from Acyrthosiphon pisum (pea aphid), 635 nucleotides. RefSeq lists it as uncharacterized. Lineage: Eukaryota; Metazoa; Arthropoda; Insecta; Hemiptera; Aphididae. The transcript has 4 exons. The record is from RefSeq and is a predicted model, not a curated record.